UCCCUGGAGGGCUACUGGUUAGGCCUUGGCGCUCUCAUCACCGCAGCCCGGGUUCGAUUACUGGCAAGGGCA
This 72-nucleotide transfer RNA is filed under the name Pangasianodon hypophthalmus (striped catfish). RNAcentral describes it as "tRNA-Glu". Lineage: Eukaryota; Metazoa; Chordata; Actinopteri; Siluriformes; Pangasiidae. The record is from RNAcentral.